AUGAACCGGAGGAAUCCGCAAGCACAGAAAUUGUUGUACAGAGAGUUUCCAGAGCAUUAUAGAUGGAUAGCUGGAAAAAAGAAGUGGCAGAAGAGAAGAAAUAACAGAUCACAGAUUGGAAGACUUGUGUAUGCACACCCUGCUGAAGGAGAGAGGUACUACUUGCGUGUGCUGCUAAGUCAUGUUCGAGGUGCCACUUCUUUUGAUGAUUUAAAAACAGUAAAUGGCAACCUAUGCACUUCCUUCAGAGAGGCAUGUGAGCACUUAGGCCUCAUUGAGCACGACAAGACUCUUCAUGAUUGCAUGACAGAGGCAUGCACAUUUCAGAUGCCUUCUGCCCUAAGACGGUUGUUUGCAACUAUAUUGGUAUUUUGCGAGGCAACAGAAAUCCGACAAUUGUGGGAUAAACAUCUACCAUCAAUGUGUGAGGACUACAGUCGUAAUGAAUCCAAUGAGUCGGUACUUGAGCAGAUGGUCCUUUGAGAUAUUAGGGAUAUGUUGCAAUCCAUGGGAAAGGAUAUUAAGAGCUAUGGACUUCCGGAUCUGGUUGAGACCGAUGGUUCUUAUGACAGUGAAUACAGAGAGGUAACAGAGGAGAGGCAAAUCACCGCGGACACAGAACAUCUAGAUCUAUUUAGCAGUUUGAACCAUGAGCAGCUAGCUGGUUUCAAUGACAUAAUGGAUCAUGUGAUGAACAAAAAAGCCAGAUAUUCUUUGUUGAUGGUCCAGGAGGAACUGGGAAGACGUACUUGUACAAGGCAUUGCUAG
Molecule: ribosomal RNA, 768 nt
Filed under: Triticum aestivum (bread wheat)
Lineage: Eukaryota; Viridiplantae; Streptophyta; Magnoliopsida; Poales; Poaceae
Description: partial small subunit ribosomal RNA
Source: RNAcentral